Molecule: ribosomal RNA, 389 nt
Filed under: Albizia julibrissin (silk tree)
Lineage: Eukaryota; Viridiplantae; Streptophyta; Magnoliopsida; Fabales; Fabaceae
Description: eukaryotic LSU rRNA
Rfam family: Eukaryotic large subunit ribosomal RNA (bases 292-389)
Source: RNAcentral
UGCAGAAUCCCGUGAACCAUCGAGUCUUUGAACGCAAGUUGCGCCCGAAGCCGCUAGGCCGAGGGCACGUCUGCCUGGGUGUCACGCAACGUCGCCAGCGCCGGAUCCUACGGGCGCGGCGGAUGAUGGCCUCCCGGGAGCCUCGCCUCCCGGCCGGCCGAAAAAGGGGCCCUACGUGACGGCCGCCACGAUCCACGGUGGUUGAGUGAGCAUUCGCUCGAGGCCAAGACGUGCGCGCGCCGUCCCACGGCGGGGGCCAGUCGGACGGGGCACAGCCCGCCCACUCGUACGCGACCCCAGGUCAGGCGGGGCUACCCGCUGAGUUUAAGCAUAUCAAUAAGCGGAGGAAAAGAAACUAACGAGGAUUCCCCUAGUAACGGCGAGCGAAC